Molecule: ribosomal RNA, 444 nt
Filed under: uncultured bacterium
Lineage: Bacteria
Description: SSU rRNA
Rfam family: Bacterial small subunit ribosomal RNA
Source: RNAcentral
AGAGCGAACGCUGGCGGCAGGCCUAAUACAUGCAAGUCGAACGCACCUUCGGGUGAGUGGCGGACGGGUGAGUAACACGUGGGAACGUGCCCUUUGGUUCGGAAUAAUCCGGGGAAACCUGGCCUAAUACCGGAUGUGCCCUUCGGGGGAAAGAUUUAUCGCCAUUGGAGCGGCCCGCGUCUGAUUAGCUUGUUGGUGGGGUAAUGGCCCACCAAGGCUACGAUCAGUAGCUGGUCUGAGAGGAUGAUCAGCCACACUGGGACUGAGACACGGCCCAGACUCCUACGGGAGGCAGCAGUGGGGAAUUUUGCGCAAUGGGGGAAACCCUGACGCAGCAACGCCGCGUGGAGGAUGAAGCCCCUUGGGGUGUAAACUCCUUUCGACCAAGACGAUAAUGACGGUACUGGUGGAAGAAGCACCGGCUAACUCUGCGCCAGCAGCCGC